UACAGAGGUCUCAAGCGUUGUUCGGAUUCAUUGGGCGUAAAGGGAGCGUAGGUGGCGCCGUAAGUCAGGGGUGAAAUUUCGGAGCUUAACUCCGAAACUGCAUUUGAUACUGCGGUGCUUGAGGACUGGAGAGGAGACUGGAAUUUACGGUGUAGCAGUGAAAUGCGUAGAGAUCGUAAGGAAGACCAGUGGCGAAGGCGGGUCUCUGGACAGUUCCUGACACUGAGGCACGAAGGCCAGGGGAGCAAACGGG
This 253-nucleotide ribosomal RNA is filed under the name uncultured bacterium. Its description in RNAcentral is "partial 16S ribosomal RNA". It matches the Rfam family "Bacterial small subunit ribosomal RNA", at positions 524 to 776 of the family's 1533-position model. The record is from RNAcentral.